Long non-coding RNA from Solea solea (common sole), 1866 nucleotides. RefSeq lists it as uncharacterized. NCBI's taxonomy places the organism in Eukaryota, Metazoa, Chordata, Actinopteri, Pleuronectiformes, Soleidae. The transcript is spliced from 4 exons. The record is from RefSeq and is a predicted model, not a curated record.
UUAAUUACUUUGUUUUAGGAUCUUUCAACUUAACAUAACGCUUUAGAAAUAAAAGGUGGACCUCUGUAUGGUCUUAUUCAUUCUCUCAACAUUAGACCAUUUGGCUGUGGGACAAAUAAUUCAUUCAGUCUGGAGUAUUUAGCCGACAUUUUUUUAUUGAUCUGUAUUAAGACAAACAUAGCUGUGAUUGACAAAACAUAACAUAUGUGUAUUUUCACAUGAAGGCUAUUUGGAAAGUAUAAAAGCAACUUAGCUAGAUGUAAAAUGAGCGACUGAAUUUUGUGUUUUGUACAGUGGUUAAGGUUGAUUUAAUGCUCGUUAAAGGUGCACCUUUGACGUUGACGUGAGUAAUAUCAGCUAUUUAACAUGAGCUAACUGUCGAACAAACCGUAGAAAUAGCACCAUACACCGAGAAAUAUGACGCCUGUACAGUCCACAGUGAUGCUGUGAGCAACUUAUCUUUGGCUGGUAAUUUCCUCGUCACUGCAUCCUGAGAUUUUACCAUGAAGAUGCUGGAACUUCUAGAGGAGAAGCUGCUGUAUGCUACAUCAGGGGAGGACUGUGAGUACAGAAGCUCCAGUUCAAGUCCAGACCCAGCACUGUGGAUUGCCUCAGCUCACUUGGUUUGACUGGAUAUUCUCACUCAGAGAUUUGAACUUGGUGCAGCAGCAACAGAGGAAAUUCAGAAGUGGAUAUUUCAAUAGACAAGAGAAGGAUGCCGACUACCUACACCUCUGUAACUAAUUAAUGGUUAGGGUUAACGCUUUGUUUAGGAUGUCCAAAUGAGUCAAAGUCAAAGCAGAGUCCUUAGUUGUGAUAGUUGUGCAAACUUUGUGUGUGUGUACUUGGGUUCUUGUAUUUGUUACCUCCUUAGGAACAUUUCUGGCAUAAACACUGACUUUGUUAGGACCAGUAGUCCUCAUGGAGACCAAACUGGUUAUGUUUAGAUAAGCUAAGAUUUGAAUUUAGUUAAGCUAAGGGACAACGCUUUGGUUACUGUAGGUUGUCCAAAGGAAUGUGGUGUGUGUGUUUUUGUGUGUGUGUUUAUGAGAAAAAAAAAGAAAAGAGAAGUUGGAGGACAAGCCACUGUAAUGUGUAGUCCAUAUGUGGCCUAAACAUCUGGAUAUGUUUUUCCUGGUUAGCUGCGGUGGCUGCCACUGCCUGCAUGUGUGUAUUUUGGUAUUUUACAAGUAUUACGCUAGUAUAUUUUGCAUUUAGUUUAUUGUUUGUUUGUUUUGUGAGAUUGAGAUGAUACCCAGCCAAUCAAAGAGUAUACGUUUUCUUGUUACAGCAGGUUUAAGCUACACCACCACACAGUUUCACUGUGGCUGUAAAACACACAGUUUUCCUAAACUGUUUCCCACCAGAAUGUAUACUAAGACAUACAAGUUGUCAAAACACUUCAGUGUGGUGGCAGUUCAAUUAGGUACUCUUUUGAGUCUUUGGAAAUGAAUGACAAUCGUCUACAGCAAUUUAAAGUACAGUUUUGAGGAAACAUUCUUUUUGUCAUCGUUACAAACUUUGAAAUAACAGAAUAACACGGUGUUCCAGAAAAUAAAGAGUGGUAUAUACUGAAUAAGAGAGUCACUUCAAAGUCACACAUGAUUGUACAGAUGUGCGUUUAGUUCUUUAAGCAACUCGACGGACACAUCUCCAGGGAAGUCUUUUUUGUGUUAUAAAAAGUUGAACAAUUUCAUGUUUGUGUUACAAAAAUAAAAAAUGUAACAACACACACUCAGUGGUAGAUGUGAGUGUAUGUGUUUUUGGUUUCCAAACAUUUUAGAUGACUGCGUAAUUACUCUGUAUUUAACUGAAAAAGGUAGACUUGUUAGUCUCACAUAUGUUUUAUGUCCUGCUGAAUGCUGA